Long non-coding RNA from Neltuma alba, 1715 nucleotides. RefSeq lists it as uncharacterized. The transcript is spliced from 2 exons. The record is from RefSeq and is a predicted model, not a curated record. NCBI's taxonomy places the organism in Eukaryota, Viridiplantae, Streptophyta, Magnoliopsida, Fabales, Fabaceae.
UAAUGGGUUGAGCCGGCAGGAAAUCCAACAAUCUUCCUCUCUCCUUUUCUUUCUUGUGAAAGGAAUCAUCACAUUUAUAUUUUAUUUAUGGAGGAUCACAAUCCUAACAAAAAUAAAUCGGUAGUGAUUUUUGUUCAAAAAGGAUGAGAUUGCACGGCAGCCCAAGUUUUGAAGGAAAAAAAAUCGGAGAUUUUUGGUUUCCAGACGAGAUUGUGCCGGCCUUUUAUAGAAACAUGCCUAGAGCCGUUAGAAAUACGGAUACUAUGUUCACUUGAUCCGUGGAAGACUUGCUUUUCUUUAUGUAUAAGGGGUCGAAGGAAUCUUUGUGCACCAUCUUUUGUCAGGGUUGUGAUUCUCCAUAGAUAAAAUGGAAAUGGUAACAGUCGGUAACAGGAUCUUGUAUGUCUUGAGUUCUUCCCGCCGAUUAUGGUAAGAAAUUAUGUGUCGCUGGUUCCCAAUUUGAUUUUAUAUUUUCUGUUAACUUUUCCCCCCUUCAGUAUCCAAACCCUAGAUCUGUUUAUUCUUUUUCAAGAAUCGGAUCCGAAUGUUUUGCAAUUCCAAAUCUGGUUUUCAAAGGUAAGCAGGGUGUAUGAAGACAAAUCUCGAAUUUGAUUUUAAAGGCUUGUCUGCAUUUACCUUGGUUCAGUUCAUAGGUGCUGAGAGCUGAUGCGUUUCAACGCGAAACUGGAGAAGGUUGAUAAGGGGAAGCCGAAGAAUUCGCUGGCUCAGCUUCCUUUGUUUUAUUGAAUAGCAAUUCGAUCUACAUGCUUCUUCCUUCAUUUCGUUAAUUGUUUUUCUUGCUAACGCACAUGAAUAGAUCACUGCGCGUCUUUAGUUUCCUAGGAAGCAAAGGACGUAGCGGGUAUCAUUGGCUUUUGGAUUGUGUUUCAUUUCAGGUUCAUACAACAUUAUGCUGCUCCUUGUGAGUUGCCUUGGCUUGCUUUCCGUGGUUAAGGGUGCACUUGAAAUUUAGAGUUAAAUUGCUUUGCUUGUAACUUUGCAGCAAACUCUGCAACUUCUUCCUGUUAACUUGUGAUCGAAUAUAAUAUGUUUCAUUGGUUAGGAUCUGAAACGUUGGCUAAUUGCACCUGGAUGUUUAAUUUAAUAAAUGAAAUUAGGUGUUGCUUGGCAUGACUUCAGGCUAGCUUAGUGAAGUUUCCUCGAACUAAUUAGGCCACUUUAGGUUGUUGGCUUUUGGCAUAAUGCACCCCUAGACAAAUGUAGCGGAAAUUAGGUUUGAAAAAUUGCCCUCACUUCACACUCGGCAGUAGCAAGAUCGAUGCCUUAUUACUGUAUUGAGGUAUUCAUCUAAAACGAAUUGGCCUCUUAUGAUAGAGGGCAGAACAGAGAGCCAACAGCUUAGGUUUCGACCAUGUUUGGUUGGACGUGGAAGAAAGGAAACACAAAGAAAGAUAUAAAAAUUAAAAAUGAUCCUUUUGGCCCUCGAUAAAUAGAGAGAGGAGGGAGUUUCUGGGAAGUACUUGGCUUUGAUGGCUGCAAUUUAUUUUUGGUUAUUGGAUUGAAAAACCCUGAAAUACACGAAGCAGUUAAAGAAACAUCAAUAACUAAAGGAGUAAUGUGUUUUGUGGACCAUAAUUUGCAUGUUGAUGGUUAAUUUGUGCUUGUAGUCAAACUUACACCUAGGUUGAGUUUGUCAGAUUUGGUUGCCCCACCGCUGAUUAAAGGCAAGGAUGCUACAGACAAGAGACAAAAAA